ACAAGUUGUAACCUAUCAAAUCGAAAUGAGUCGGGCACGUGUGACGAUGUUUUGACUCAUGUAAAUGAUUAGAAUAUUGCGACGAUUGUCCGUUUGAUUGUUUUACAUGAUUGUUUUACGAGAAUUUGGACCAAAAUUGUUGACAGGCGUAUGGGCAGUAGAUUGCUCGCAGAGCAGUGGUUUUGGAAGGUUACGGUAGGCUAUACUUAAUGGUUGAGGACACUUCGAACACGAAAUGUUGACAAAUGACAGUUAUAUAAAUGAAUUGUUCAUAUCAACACUAAUCAGUCGGUCCUCUACAUAGCAGAAACCACUUCAACGUCUAGAACACAACUAGAUCAGUAACCAUGAAGACGUCAGCUUGCCUCGUGCUCCUCAUGAUCGUGUCAUCCAUGUUGGCAGUAGACGCGCAGUGGUUUGGUGGGCCCCGAUUUGGCGGUCCGUUCGGACCGUACCCGUACCCUUACCCGGGGAGUUUCGGGAGACCCGGGUGGGGAUUGGGUGAAGGUCGAGGUCUCGCCUUACUGGGUUCAGCGGCCCUUCUAGGGAGUGGAAAUCAGCUUGGCCAAAUAGUCGGUGGUUUUGGUCUAGGCAGUGCACUGGGUUUCUGGUAAACUCUGUCGGUACAUGAGAUAAAGUUGCGUUUAAAGGUACAGUGUCGUUGCUGUGCGGAUGGUUAUAUGUCUCGAACUAACUCACUAACUCACUUUCUUAACUAGUACGAAUUUUUAACAAUUAUAGGCAUUUAUUUAUUAUACAUAUGUUUGCUUGUUUUACGUGAUCAUACAGGCGUUGCGCUGAUUUAAGCGUUAAGAACUAACUGGCAGUUUAAUGUGCAGGCUAACAUGAGAGUGCAUUCGGCCAGUACCUUGUGUAGAAACAGGCGCACACUUCUCGUCGGAACUUAAUGUGGCGCUUUCGGUUAUUUUUAUGCUCAUCGUUGUUAAAUUUCCGAUAUACCGCUAAAACGUUGUUCUGUAAGUGUAACAAAUGAUUCCAAUUGUUUUUUUGAGUAUGUAUUUCGUUCUCUAAAUCGAGGGUUUUUAAUAUUAAAGAAAUGACAAUUUUUAAUAGGGCAUGUACAAUUCUUUGUAAACAAUCCAAAUACUGAUCCGCGUCGAGAUCUGGUUUAUUAUAUGUCGAUCACAUAUAAAUUAAGGUAAAUAAUGCGAUCACUUGUCUUCAAUGCAUACGUUUUAUAUGAAAACGAGAUACAUGUAUGUGGACGUAUUCAAAUUACUUAUAUCGGACCGAAAAAAAACAAACAUAGACACACGUAUGGAUCACCAAAGUCGACUUGUCCUUGCAACAUAUUAGCUUUUCCAGCGUCCAUGCGUCUUUCUCAAUAACAGUUCACAAUAGUAACAGGUACGACGGAAAAACGUUUGUGAGAAGUAACAAGACAUAUACGCCAUGCUAUAUCAUGUCUAUUUACGGAGCAAUAAAAAACGGCAUUUCGAAAUUGUCACAUUGCUUCAUAUUUAAGGUUUAGGGCCUGGGUUCGGGUUCGGGCCUUAUUACGGACCUAGAUUUGGGCCUCGCUGGGGACAAGGCCGCGGGCUGGCGUAUUUAGGGGCGGCUGCUUUGCUUACCCAAGGAAACCCGCUCGGAAGGGCGGUGGGCGGUCUGGGCUUACUGGGCUUGCUUGGAUAACCGCGACUUGCGCAGUCGCGUGUACGUGAUUUCACCAUGCAGCUUGCUUUAAAUCAUGCUUUAGCCAAACAUGUUCACAGCGGAGACGAAUUUGACAAUUUGGAGCGCCUUUAUCGAAAGUCUUCUUUGAAUGUAUUAUAAUUAUAAAAAAUUCACUUGUUUUA
Dreissena polymorpha is the source of this 1817-nucleotide long non-coding RNA. RefSeq lists it as uncharacterized. NCBI's taxonomy places the organism in Eukaryota, Metazoa, Mollusca, Bivalvia, Myida, Dreissenidae. The record is from RefSeq and is a predicted model, not a curated record. The transcript is spliced from 4 exons.